Molecule: long non-coding RNA, 85 nt
Organism: Sinocyclocheilus grahami
Lineage: Eukaryota; Metazoa; Chordata; Actinopteri; Cypriniformes; Cyprinidae
Exons: 3
Source: RefSeq, a predicted model, not a curated record
UAUUUUCUUCAAUCUGAUUUGCACAAACUGCAUUACAAUCAAUUUCCGAAAUGUAAUUUGUGUGGAGAUAUUAUGAAGUCUGUAA